CAGUAGCCGCGGUAAUACGGAGGGGGCUAGCGUUGUUCGGAAUUACUGGGCGUAAAGCGUACGUAGGCGGCUUGGUAAGUUAGAGGUGAAAGCCUGGAGCUCAACUCCAGAAUUGCCUUUAAGACUGCCGAGCUAGCAGGUGAGAGAGGUAAGUGGAAUUCCGAGUGUAGAGGUGAAAUUCGUAGAUAUUCGGAAGAACACCAGUGGCGAAGGCGGCUUACUGGCUCAUACUGGACGCUGAGGUGCGAAAGCGUGGGGAGCAAACAGGAUUAGAUACCCCAGUAGUCCCUGUCUCUUAUAC
Molecule: ribosomal RNA, 301 nt
Filed under: uncultured bacterium
Lineage: Bacteria
Description: partial 16S ribosomal RNA
Rfam family: Bacterial small subunit ribosomal RNA
Source: RNAcentral